GAGCCGUGGAAGGGAGUUACGGGACAGGCGGGCGUGUCAAAGCUGAGCCGACCAACCGGCCGCCGCCGAGGACAACACAUCUCCCUCCGGCUGAAGGCUGCAGCGGCUGCAGGUAACCAAAGAUGGAGGGCGCUAGCAUGGAGUUUUUGCUGGACGCGGUCGACAUAUUCCCCUACGGGAGGAGUACGCGGAAAACUUCGAAUACCUAGAUCCAGUUCCGCUUGCAGUCGUCCCGCGGGGUGAUGGCACCGGCGGUGAGCCUGCUGACUCAAUCGCUGGGUCCAGCUGCGGGCAGAGAGUGGGCGGCGCUAGCCAGGGGCACCCAGAGGCCGACGAGCGGCGUCGACGGGAGGCCUCGCCGAUGAGAUCCGCAUAAUCUGCCAACAGAGUGUAUCCUGAGCCCCCUGGAUGGACAAAAAGAUUACGCCUCGGGAGUGUGUGACCGGAUAGAACACUAUGUCCAUCUAGGAUGAGUCCGUUUGAGCAGUCAAUCCGCAAGUACGCAGAGGAGCCUACAAAAAGCAUGGUGUGCCCAGAACUAAGACUCAUUUUUGAUUCGCUCGGUGAGGCGUAUGACUUCUACAACCUGGGAAAUUGGGUUCGGGAUAUGGUAUGUCAAGAGCAGACUACGAAAUCAAUGCAGGAGAUCGCUUGUGGUUGCUCGGGCAAGCCGGAGACCAAGAAUAGCCAUUAGUUGUGUUUAACAAUUCUGUGUGCAUGGGUAAAGAUCUCUCCAUUAUGAAAAAUGUUUUUGUGAUGUUCUUCAGUUUCCCUGGGGCCACUGGUAGCUGUUUUGGCACAAUUUGUUGUUCGACUCUGUAUGUUCAGGCCAUGAAUGUUGUUCGGAUGGGGGAUGCCAGUGCGGAAGCGUUUGAGCAUAUGUUGGCUGGACUGAAGGCAUUGCUGGUGAGCAGUGCACCAUUUGCAGAGAAGAGGGAUGGCUUGGGCACUUGCCCUGACCGGGGCGGAUGCUCUGAAGAAACGGCGGAGGCCGGGGAAAUGCAAGAACUAUGGAAUGGAAGGGCGCCACCUGGACACGUGCACUUGGCUGCUUGGUGAUGAUCACUAAUCAUAAUCAAAUAUGUAACUAUAUAUUUUUUAAUAUGUGUGUUGUAGUCUAAGGAUUUUUCUCGUGUGUUUCAGUGAGCAUUGCUCCACGCUUAUUCGUCCAGUUCGGGACUUGAGGCCAAACUAUAGUACUGAGUAAACUUUGUUCA
Triticum dicoccoides is the source of this 1217-nucleotide long non-coding RNA. RefSeq lists it as uncharacterized. NCBI's taxonomy places the organism in Eukaryota, Viridiplantae, Streptophyta, Magnoliopsida, Poales, Poaceae. The transcript has 4 exons. The record is from RefSeq and is a predicted model, not a curated record.